AGUGAACGCUGGCGGUAGGCCUAACACAUGCAAGUCGAACGGCAGCACAGUAAGAGCUUGCUCUUACGGGUGGCGAGUGGCGGGCGGGUGAGGAAUACAUCGGAAUCUACUUUUUCGUGGGGGAUAACGUAGGGAAACUUACGCUAAUACCGCAUACGACCUACGGGUGAAAGCAGGGGAUCUUCGGACCUUGCGCGAUUGAAUGAGCCGAUGUCGGAUUAGCUAGUUGGCGGGGUAAAGGCCCACCAAGGCGACGAUCCGUAGCUGGUCUGAGAGGAUGAUCAGCGACACUGGAACUGAGACACGGUCCAGACUCCUACGGGAGGCAGCAGUGGGGAAUAUUGGACAAUGGGCGCAAGCCUGAUCCAGCCAUACCGCGUGGGUGAAGAAGGCCUUCGGGUUGUAAAGCCCUUUUGUUGGGAAAGAAAAGCAGCAGGUUAAUACCCCGCUGUUCUGACGGUACCCAAAGAAUAAGCACCGGCUAACUUCGUG
This 492-nucleotide ribosomal RNA is filed under the name uncultured bacterium. RNAcentral describes it as "partial 16S ribosomal RNA". It matches the Rfam family "Bacterial small subunit ribosomal RNA", at positions 29 to 507 of the family's 1533-position model. The record is from RNAcentral.